Long non-coding RNA from Sinocyclocheilus rhinocerous, 239 nucleotides. RefSeq lists it as uncharacterized. Lineage: Eukaryota; Metazoa; Chordata; Actinopteri; Cypriniformes; Cyprinidae. The transcript has 2 exons. The record is from RefSeq and is a predicted model, not a curated record.
GGGUUUGACCCCUCCUCUGGUAUUCCUGGAGUCCUUCCUCCCGGCGCUGUGCCCCCUGGUGCCCGCUUUGACCCCUUCGGGCCAGUUGGGCGACACAGGCCUGGGCCGGACCCUGAUCACAUGCCUCCCCCAGGAUAUGACGACAUGUUCAUGUAGACGCACUAACAUCCCGUAGUUCUCGCUGUUCUGCAGUGAUAUGCACUUUGUGUUUGAAUAAACUAUGUUGUGGUCAAACAUAA